This 1695-nucleotide ribosomal RNA is filed under the name Variola albimarginata (white-edged lyretail). RNAcentral describes it as "16S ribosomal RNA". The stretch from base 110 to 1582 matches the Rfam family "Bacterial large subunit ribosomal RNA". Lineage: Eukaryota; Metazoa; Chordata; Actinopteri; Perciformes; Serranidae. The record is from RNAcentral.
GCUGACUCGCUAGCCCAACACACACCAAAUACAACAACUCAUACUAAAUAACCCCAAACACACCACCCUUAUAACAAACAAAUCAUUUUUCCCCCUCAGUAUAGGCGAUAGAAAAGGAAACACGGAGCAAUAGAAAAAGUACCGCAGGGGAAUGCUGAAAUAAAAAUGAAAUAAACCAGUGAAGCCACAAAAAGCAGAGAUUUUAACUCGUACCUUUUGCAUCAUGAUUUAGCCAGUGAAACCCAAGCAAAGCGUUCUUUAGUUUGACAACCCGAAACCAAGUGAGCUACUCCAAGACAGCCUAACCAUAAAGGGCAAACCCGUCUCUGUGGCAAAAGAGUGGGAAGAGCUUCGAGUAGAGGUGAUAGACCUACCGAACUUGGUUAUAGCUGGUUGCCUGGAAACUGGAUAGAAGUUCAGCCUCCCGGCUUCUCCUUUCACUCCUACUAAACAGAUUUACCAAAAGAAACCGAGAGAGUUAGUCAAAGGAGGUACAGCUCCUUUGAAACAAGAUACAACUUUACCAGGAGGAUAAAGAUCAUAAUAGAUAAAAGGCAAAGUGAUUCCGGUGGGCCUAAAAGCAGCCAUCCUAACAGAAAGCGUUAAAGCUCAGACAUACUGCCCUCUCCUAAAGUUCGGAUUACCAAAUCUUAUUCCCCUAAUCCUACCAAGCCGUUCUAUGCAAACAUAGAAGUGACCAUGCUAGAAUGAGUAAUAAGAGAGGUUCGCCUCUCUCCUUGCAUACGUGUAAAUCGGAACCGGACAUUCCACCGAACCUUAACGGCCCCAAAAUUAGAGGGAACUAGGUAAUUAAGAUAAAAAACAAGAAAAACACCCAACCAAAAACCGUUAACCCCACACAGGUGUGCUCCCUAGGAAAGACUAAAAGAAAAAGAAGGAACUCGGCAAACACAAUGGCCUCGCCUGUUUACCAAAAACAUCGCCUCUUGAAAACCACGUAUAAGAGGUCCCGCCUGCCCUGUGACUAAUUGUUUAACGGCCGCGGUAUCCUGACCGUGCGAAGGUAGCGCAAUCACUUGUCUUUUAAAUGGAGACCUGUAUGAAUGGCAUAACGAGGGCUUAACUGUCUCCUUUUUCAAGUCAAUGAAAUUGAUCUCCCCGUGCAGAAGCGGGGAUAUACACAUAAGACGAGAAGACCCUAUGGAGCUUUAGACACCAAAGCAGCUCACACCCCCUACCCCUAUAACAACAGGCGGUAAACCUAAGCGAGUCCUGCCCUACUGUCUUUGGUUGGGGCGACCAUGGGGAAAUAAAAAACCCCCACACGGAACGGGAGCACACGCUCCCGAAACCAAGAGCCACAGCUCUAAUUAACAGAACUUCUGACCACCAAGAUCCGGCAUUGCCGAUCAAUGAACCGAGUUACCCUAGGGAUAACAGCGCAAUCUCCUUUUAGAGUCCAUAUCGACAAGGGGGUUUACGACCUCGAUGUUGGAUCAGGACAUCCUAAUGGUGCAGCCGCUAUUAAGGGUUCGUUUGUUCACGAUUAAAGUCCUACGUGAUCUGAGUUCAGACCGGAGUAAUCCAGGUCGGUUUCUAUCUAUGAUGCGACCUUUUCUAGUACGAAAGGACCGAGAAGGAGGGGCCCCUGCCUAAGUAAGCCUCCCCCUUACCUAACGUAGUCAACUAAAAUAGGCAAGAGGGCGUGCCCCCUCUUGCCUAAGAAAAUGGCAU